This 69-nucleotide transfer RNA is filed under the name Galeruca luctuosa. RNAcentral's name for it is "tRNA-Arg". Lineage: Eukaryota; Metazoa; Arthropoda; Insecta; Coleoptera; Chrysomelidae. The record is from RNAcentral.
AAAUAAGAAGCAAAUUAUUGCAUUUAGUUUCGACCUAAAAAUUUGAUUUUUUUAAAAAAUCCUUAUUUU